RNAcentral lists this ribosomal RNA (681 nucleotides) under uncultured nitrite-oxidizing bacterium. RNAcentral's name for it is "bacterial SSU rRNA". It matches the Rfam family "Bacterial small subunit ribosomal RNA", at positions 21 to 696 of the family's 1533-position model. The record is from RNAcentral.
GGCUCAGGACGAACGCUGGCGGCGCGCCUAAUACAUGCAAGUCGAGCGAGAAGGUGUAGCAAUACACUUGUAAAGCGGCGAACGGGUGAGGAAUGCAUGGGUAACCUACCCUCGAGUGGGGAAUAACUAGCUGAAAGGUUAGCUAAUACCGCAUACGUUUCCGGAACUUCGGUUCUGGAAAGAAAGCAAUACCGUGGGUAUUGCGCUCAUGGAUGGGCUCAUGUCCUAUCAGCUUGUUGGUGAGGUAAUGGCUCACCAAGGCUUCGACGGGUGGCUGGUCUGAGAGGACGAUCAGCCACACUGGCACUGCGACACGGGCCAGACUCCUACGGGAGGCAGCAGUAAGGAAUAUUGCGCAAUGGACGAAAGUCUGACGCAGCGACGCCGCGUGGGGGAUGAAGGUCUUCGGAUUGUAAACCCCUUUCGGGAGGGAAGAUGGAGUGGGUAACCACUUGGACGGUACCUCCAGAAGCAGCCACGGCUAACUUCGUGCCAGCAGCCGCGGUAAUACGAAGGUGGCAAGCGUUGUUCGGAUUCACUGGGCGUACAGGGAGCGUAGGCGGUUGGGUAAGCCCUCCGUGAAAUCUCCGGGCCUAACCCGGAAAGUGCAGAGGGGACUGCUCUGCUAGAGGAUGGGAGAGGAGCGCGGAAUUCCCGGUGUAGCGGUGAAAUGCGUAGAGA